RNAcentral lists this transfer RNA (72 nucleotides) under Apiotrichum porosum. RNAcentral's name for it is "Trichosporon porosum tRNA". It matches the Rfam family "tRNA". From Rfam's summary of the family: Transfer RNA (tRNA) molecules are approximately 80 nucleotides in length. Their secondary structure includes four short double-helical elements and three loops (D, anti-codon, and T loops). Lineage: Eukaryota; Fungi; Basidiomycota; Tremellomycetes; Trichosporonales; Trichosporonaceae. The record is from Rfam by way of RNAcentral.
GCCCGCUUGGCCCAGUGGUACGGCGUGUCUUUCCUAAGGACAAGAUCGUGGGUUCGAUCCCCGCAGUGGGUU